This 429-nucleotide ribosomal RNA is filed under the name Chloroflexota bacterium. RNAcentral's name for it is "Chloroflexi bacterium partial 16S ribosomal RNA". It matches the Rfam family "Bacterial small subunit ribosomal RNA", at positions 355 to 776 of the family's 1533-position model. Lineage: Bacteria; Bacillati; Chloroflexota. The record is from RNAcentral.
UGGGGAAUAUUGCACAAUGGGCGCAAGCCUGAUGCAGCCAUGCCGCGUGUAUGAAGAAGGCCUUCGGGUUGUAAAGUACUUUCAGCGGGGAGGAAGGGAGUAAAGUUAAUACCUUUACUCAUUGACGUUACCCGCAGAAGAAGCACCGGCUAACUCCGUGCCAGCAGCCGCGGUAAUACGGAGGGUGCAAGCGUUAAUCGGAAUUACUGGGCGUAAGGCGCACGCAGGCGGUUUGUUAAGUCAGAUGUGAAAUCCCCGGGCUCAACCUGGGAACUGCAUUCGAAACUGGCAGGCUAGAGUCUUGUAGAGGGGGGUAGAAUUCCAGGUGUAGCGGUGAAAUGCGUAGAGAUCUGGAGGAAUACCGGUGGCGAAGGCGGCCCCCUGGACAAAGACUGACGCUCAGGUGCGAAAGCGUGGGGAGCAAACAGG